This 910-nucleotide long non-coding RNA is filed under the name Erythranthe guttata (spotted monkey flower). RNAcentral describes it as "long non-coding RNA (EGUT_LNC003340)". The record is from RNAcentral. Lineage: Eukaryota; Viridiplantae; Streptophyta; Magnoliopsida; Lamiales; Phrymaceae.
AAUACUGUUCUGACAUUGUAAAUUUCAAAUGAAAACGACGAUAUUAAGAAAAUUUGUUUCAAUUUUAAUCCCUAAUAGGAUAAAUUAAGGUAAAAUGUGGGUGUAGAAAUUGAAGUGAUGCCCUUUCUCCCAAAAACCCAUUUCCCUAAUUUCCCAAAUUGAAUUGGAAUUGAUGAAGAAACAGAGGCAUAUGUGUUUAAGUUAAAUUCCUCGCAGACUCAUGCGUUGGUUGUUUUGUUUCUCUCUCUAUCUGUGCCGGUGUGGUAAUCAUUCUUAAUCACAGCCUUCAUAGUUGUCCUUGCGAAAAUUAGGGCAAAAUUAGGGAUUUGAAUUGGGGAUUUUCUGACAGAUUUGGGCGAAUUGGUGAAGAAAGUUCGAUGUUGAGAAGAAGCAACUGUGUUUCAUCUACAGGUACAAUAAUGCCCUUUUGAUUUUCCAAUUCUACUUGAAUUUCUCCUGAUAGAGAUAAAAUAGCAUUAGCCUUCUCCUUAUUAAUAAUAUUAAGCAAACAUUUGGGGAUUUUGUGAGGAAUUUUUGAAUUAGGGAUUUCAAGUAACAGGAAACAUGAUGGAUAGAAGUAUGAUUAUAUACAAAUGACAACAUGAUACAUACACCUUUGCGUGAAAAUAAUACUUGUUGUACGGAAUAUAAGGUAAAUAUGCAGCUAGUGCUUACUUAUUACAAACUUGUAAUCAUCACGCAAGAUGCUAAGAAUAUACUGGUAUGUGGUAACCGAGAAUUCUACGUGAAAUGCCUGUCUUGCUACCAUGCAUUCUUGCAGUUAGCCUUCUAUUACAUUGAUGCUUGCUUGACAAUAGGUCUGCGUCGACUUGGUGUACCGUUGCUACUCGAGGCAGCCAUAAACGCCCUCCACGAAUCUAUAUAAGCUGCUUCUUUUGGAUCGAUUCCU